Mauremys reevesii (Reeves's turtle) is the source of this 1635-nucleotide long non-coding RNA. RefSeq lists it as uncharacterized. The record is from RefSeq and is a predicted model, not a curated record. Lineage: Eukaryota; Metazoa; Chordata; Testudines; Geoemydidae. The transcript has 5 exons.
GGGGGAAAAAACUCUUAGGCACAGGCAGUUUUGACCUCAAGCAAGAUGGGAAUGGACUUGGAGCCUUAAAACUCCUCCAGCCUUGCAGGAGGAGUUCCAAGGAGUAACAGUGAGAUCCAGUUAAUAAGACCCUCAGUUCCUAUGGCCAGGAGGAAUUUUGAGGUGCCAGGACGAUAAACAUAUAGGGUUGCCUUCUGCUCUACCAUCUCAAUUCCUGUCACACACCUAAUUCAGCAACCAGACUUCCAGACACUGCGCAGAACAUGGCCUCACCAGUGACUAAAACAGCACAAUAGAUAAUUAGAUCUAAAUGAGAAAUGUCUACCCUGGGGGAACUGAAUGGGACACAGCCGACCGAAUUAGUACCAACGGACUCUCAUACAGCUAGGGCUUUUGUGGUUACUGUCAUCAGAAGUGUAACCAGUGAGGCCAACUCUCUGCAUUAUUAAUGCUGCUGGAAACAUGAGCUGAUGAUUCCUCCACACACUCCUGUGGCAUAGAAGCUGCUCCAAAUAACGACAUGGCCUCGCCCACCUUGGCACUCAGAGCCUGGGGCCAGCAUGGCUGCCCCAACACUGCCAACAAAAAUAUGGGGUGUUCUCAAGGAAUAAAACAGAUCGGCCACAUGAUGGUGCUGCAACCUCAGGAACAGGAAAGAGGGCUGCUGGACUGCAUUCCCUGUAACCGCCCCCCACCAGUGAAAUGCAGCCUGGUGCAGAGACAUAUCACAAAGCCUGAGUGAGUUUUCUGUGCUGCUGGCCCCUGCUCCCCGGUGACUCACCCCCUGAUAUCUCCAUUCACUCAGACCGGACCGGGUAUUUCUAGCAUGGACUGGGCUAGGAAUCUCUCCCCAAAUACCUGCAUGGACUCUGCCCUCUGCCAGCCAGGGGCCUAUGCUCCCACCUUGUAGGAUGUAAGAAACUCCCAUUGACUUUAAUGCACUCAGGACCUGUGGCCAGAUUCAGCCUGGUGCUGUGGCUGCAAAAAGAGGCCUUAGGGUGGGUAUAAUGCUCCCUUGGCGAGUGGCACAGAGAACCCCUACACCGUGCCCAGAGCUGAUGGAUAGAGCUGCAGACUGCCUCUGCAGCGGCCCUGGUGGGAAGGGGCCCAGAGGAGUCUGGGCCGGGGCAGAUGUGUGCCCCAGCAAUUCUGAGCGCCCACAAGGGGCCAUUGUCACAGUGGUGCUCAGGGCUGCACCGGCCUGAGCUGGGGGCUGUACCAGCCUCCACAGCCCCUGGAUAGGAGGAAGGCAAGAUGCAUCCCCUCUGCCCCUGCCCUGGUGCUGAGUCUGCCCCCUGAAGCGUGAGUUGAGCGGCACCGUCCCCUUUGCACGGCACCAUGUUUUCCAGGGAUGCUGAGUGAUCCCGGCUCCCAUGCGGACAUGGAUUCAUGCCCAAGCAGAGUCCAGAGUGUGAAUCGGAGUGUGAACAGAUCGAGUGCUGGGCUCAUCCCUAGGCUGCCUGACACAGAUGUCAGCAGACCGUGGGGCAGAGCAUGCCUUGCCUGACCCUAAAGGAAGCAAUGAGCCACUCUUGGUCAGUUUCCUAACGCCCCAUCCCCUCUUGUCCAUUUCACGCUGACUGUGGAUGAAAGGGGUUAGCUGGCUGGAUUCUUCCAGGACCAAAUUCUCCUUUA